CACGCCGUAAACGAUGAGUACUAGGUGUGGGAGGUAUCGACCCCUUCCGUGCCGGAGUUAACGCAAUAAGUACCCCGCCUGGGGACUACGAUCGCAAGAUUGAAACUCAAAGGAAUUGACGGGGGCCCGCACAAGCGGUGGAGUAUGUGGUUUAAUUCGACGCAACGCGAAGAACCUUACCAAGGCUUGACAUUGAGUGAAAGGCUAAGAGAUUAGCCCCUCUCUUCGGAGACACGAAAACAGGUGG
RNAcentral lists this ribosomal RNA (247 nucleotides) under uncultured bacterium. RNAcentral's name for it is "partial 16S ribosomal RNA". It matches the Rfam family "Bacterial small subunit ribosomal RNA", at positions 796 to 1041 of the family's 1533-position model. The record is from RNAcentral.